UCCUAAUUGGCAGAAUAAUGCAAUAGGUUUAGAACCUAUCACCCCGUUA
This 49-nucleotide transfer RNA is filed under the name Bumba horrida. RNAcentral describes it as "tRNA-Leu". The record is from RNAcentral. Lineage: Eukaryota; Metazoa; Arthropoda; Arachnida; Araneae; Theraphosidae.